GGAGGGUGCUGGUGCAAGGCACUAGCGCCAGCUCAGUGGAGAGGCAGAGAAUAGGAGAUACAAACUCGUAAACAGCAGCAGCAGCAGCAGCAGCAGCAGCAGCAGACUGAGUGCCCGGGCACCCGAAAGAACUGAACAUCCUACUCCUCCCGCCCUCCCCCACUUCCAGCAACCGGUUUGCAGAUAAGGAGCACUUCCUGAAUGCUCCGUGUAGGUGGCGGCGUGGGAGGAGGUGAAAUGCAAACGUGAUUUUCCUUGCUGCCUGUCAUCAGUUCUCCGCUCUCCUCCGACUUUCAUGAGUGAUGAGGUCAUCCCGGCGCAGAAAAAAAUUAAACUUCAAGCCCAAUAAAGGCCCGCAUUGUAGGUCUGUGUAAACAGAGGCCAGAAGUGCAGGGAGCCGGGAAGCCGCGCGCACGCCCUCUGGCGGCAGCACGAGACGGUGCGCUCCGCAGCCACGCGGGGAGCGCGCGGCUAACACGGAAGUUAAAAUUAGAUCGAUCGUCAGGCUGGCUGGCUCAAUCAAUGCUUCACAGGGAGAGCAUACAACCAUCUAUUUAUAAGCCAAACCCGGCAUUAUCUCCCUCUUUUAGGACGCAGAGAUCCAUUACUGCGCGCGGCAGGGGAGAGGAUGUUGCACGAAGCUGCUCUGCCACAUUCCAGCCGCAGCGUGACCGCAGACCAGCCAGACCUGCGGCGGGCCCUGGACCUCCUGAGGCUUCCUUCCUCCCCUCUUUACCUUCCUGAGAAUCCUUGGUCUUUCAGGGGGGAAAAAAAGCAUUAAAACGGUCCUUGGGCCUCCUGCCGUUUAAAGGGCCACAGUGGUAACCGCAGACUUAGCAGCCUUUUAAGAAAGGUCUCCCACCCAGCUUCCCUGAGGAACUGCAGCUCUCAUCCUUGCUCAGACAAUCGUUGCUGUAAAUAGCUGCAGUUCUCCUCCUCCCCUGUCAAAACACGGGUGGGAGUGGGUGUGCAGCAGGGACUCUGCACACUUAAGGCCCUGACGAGUUGGACUUGGGGUCCCGCGGCCUCUGCCCUAACAGGACCUCAGCACAGUGCCUGGCCCCUCUGCCCCCUGGAUGACAGUUACCUCUGAUCCUGGAAGAACCUCCACACCUCUCCACUCCUCUCAUUAACAUUGUUAAACUGUUUUCACAUGUUGAAGGAGGAAGGUAAAACCUGAUGCAGCAGCCCUCCAAUACAAGAUCAAAUCAUGUAUCCAAGGAAAAAGCUUUUCUCAUCUUACCUAGGUAAACAGCAUACUGUAUAUUACAUGGACUUAUAUUUAUUUUUUCUAUAUUUAACAACUUUCUUUAAUAAACAGAUACUAUUUUUGCCAGAGAGAACUUUAAUACUGGAAAAAUUUUAAUAUUCGCCUAAACGUACAUUGCACAUAUUUUUGGAAUAAAUUUAUUAGUGGCUCUAUCAUCUGACAUAAAAGGCUUUUGAACUAAAGAUAGAAACUGAAGCCUUCUUUAUUUAGAAGCAACCUUUCUCCUCCUCUUCAACACUUGUUGGCUUCCCUCCAAAGCGUAUUCCGCAUCUGUCCCCUUCUCCACGUCUACACCUCUCCUCCUUAGUCACCGUUUGUUUCCCUUCACCUGGAUUCUGCAAAUAUCUCCUUCCGAGUUUUCUGGAUCCACUUUCUCCCCACUGCGGUUCUCACUACACCCUAUCAGCUAGUUUGCUCUUUUAAAACAUCUGCGUGUCUUCAUGGAGUAAUACAUUGGAGCAAGACCAACAGUGAUACAGAAGCAACUCUGCUGAUCUAAAAGGUGGCGAAGCUACCUCGGGUCCACUUAAGUCUGUUUGAAGGCCUACCCAUACACAUCACUCUUUUCCCGAAAGGCUGUGAGCAGAGAUCUGCUCUGGGAAGGCCCUAAGGUCGGCAGUGGAAGCUAGAAAGUCUAUGCCAGCAGGAUGAAUGAUCUGUCUCCAGCUGGCUGAGUGUUCUGCACCGGAGCCAGGAAGUGAUGCUCCAAAGUAAGGACCAGCGCUCCCUCAAAAUGAACUGCAGCCAUUAUUAGCAACACUAAGGUCUUGAGAUCCUCUGACAAUGAGAACAACCAAGUUCAUGUCAGGAAAGAAGCUCAAAAAGCUCCUCCAGAAGAACCAACAGCAACAUGAGAACCAACGACAACCAAGAGAACUAACACCACCACUGCUUCCUCUCCAGUUCUCCCUUUUAUGCUGGCAGCAAUCCUCAGGUGGGCCAUUCAUGCUCAGCACCAUGCUGAUUCUGUUUAGCUGGUGUUACAAGUUGACCACCAGGCACCACACCAGGCAUUAUGUGUUACAUGGUGGAAGCACUGUACUAAACUACCAAACUAAAUCUGCACAGACCUACAGAUUUAAAUGUCAAUGCACAAAAAUAUGGAAAAAAUGAUAUACGUUAAAUGAUGUCAUGGGGAUGCCAUCAGUUGAAGUCAAGACUCAACCAGACAAAAAGUGCUGUUUCUUUAACAUCAACAAAAAUAAUAAACACCAGGAGAAAAAAAAAAAGCAAAAGAACUAUGGGCUUUACUUAGACUUAAGGACAAUAAUCUCUCAAAAAUACAAAAGACAGUGAUAGAGAUUGUUUAUAGGAUAACCAGAGAAAGUAUAAAUACUAAAUGGAUGCUUGGUAUGAUUAAGGAAUUUAUUAAUGUUGUUUUUAGAGAGCUGUUAGGAGUUUUAGGAGGGGGUGAUGAUGUUGCUGUCCUUGCUUUUUAAAAAAGGGUAAGCCUUGUCUUUUUUAGAUAGACACUAAAACAUUUGGUGAUGAAAUGCUCUGACAUGAGAGAUUUGUUUCAAAAUUUAUCUAGGGCAGAAAGGGAACAGGACAGGUCAUGAGUGGAAAUCAUUCAAGCUGGGUAAAGUAUACACUCUGUAUUUUAGAAUGUGCUUGAAAUUUUCCCUAAUAAAAAAUUCAAUGUGUAACUUAUUGAAGUAUCUGCUGUUUUUACAAACAUAUAUUAAAAUAAUAUUGCACACAAGGCAUUGAGCAUAUAGAGACAAGUUAGUCUUCUGGCCAGAUUCACUGCAUCUUAGUUCCUCUUUCUAAGACAGCAUUGAUUUUAAGAGAUACAAUUAUUUUAAUUGCAGCUUUGGAAUCGACAGACUUGAAGGUCACUGCUCCCUUGGAGUAAGAGGGAGGAAGAGAAAAAAAUUACACACUGAUGCUAAGACACUUCCAAAUUUUAGACUACCCACAUCUUAGAGUUAAGGCAAAAUGCUAAUUUUGGUUGUUAUUUGUAUAUACAGUAAAAUUUGGGUGUAAAUAUUUGAUUCUGCCCAGUGUAACUGUGGUUCUAUCUCCCCCCGCCCCUCCAGUGUGUCAGAAUCCAGUCAUCAAGCUGAAAUAGGUCACUUGGGUCUUACUGAAAGCAGAUGUGUCUUGGUCAUUUGGAAGAUGGAAGAUACAAGAAGUGACUCCAGGUGUGCUCUUCAGGAACACACGCUGUACAGCUGUCUAGCUAGACAAAGCCUUUCAGCCAGAAGUCAGUUUGUUUUGGAUCAGAUCAUUUUCCUGGCAAGCUAUAUUUGUUUUCUAGUGACAGAAAGGUAAGGCGCAAGUCCAAGUCAUUUUUUUCCUUGAAUACUAAAUUUGAGAUAUUUCUGUUUUCAUUGAGCUGAAGCAUUUGUGUCUCAAGCUUCUAGGGAAGUUUAAGGCUUUCUAUACCUCUAGAAAUUAUGACCUACACCUAUUGCAUCUUUAAAAAGACUCACACUCUUUAAAAAUAUCUUCAGUGCUUUUCCACUCGUAUAUUUAAAGUACUUUUCUAUUAUUAUUUCUCUGUAUUUUUUUCUUCAGCUACCAACUGGGUAGAUGAAAAUUUGGCUGAGGAGACGGAGGAGGAUGGAUGGGUGAGAGGAUAUAUAGCAUGAAUGAACUAAUGAACCAGUAUUUUGAAGCAGUGUGUGCAUUGUAGACUUGAUCACUUGGAACCAUACAUUCCAAGUCAGUAAACAUUCAUUUAGCACCUAUCUGAUUUCAGAAAUUUAUUAUAACAUAUAAAAAUACCAUCAGAAGAGAAAUAACAUCAAUAUAGAUCCUGUAGAUAUUAAAAGACUAAUAACAGAAUCUUAUGAACAACUUUAUGCUAAUGCAUUCAAUAAUUUAAACUGACAAAUUCCUACAAAAAAUACAGAGUACUAAAGCUCACUCCAGGAAAAGUAGAUAACCAAACAGCCCUUUAUUUGUAGAAAUGUAACAAAUUUGAGAGGCACAGAUAUUAUUCUCCUUAUUUUGAAGAUGAAGAAAUGAAGGCUUAGAGAGGUAAAGUCUUUUGCUCAAGGCCAUGUCCUGGAAUAUAGGAAAGCCAGGAUUUAAAUCCAGGUUCCUAUCUAAUGUCCUUGCUAAGAAGCCUUGCUGCAAUUGAAAAUUUCAACUCCUUAUUUAUGAGGGAAUUGUUCCUGCCCAAUCCACGCCCUCACUACAUACCAUCCUUUCUUAAGUUCUAUGUUUAUGUUUCAUCAGGGUUAUGUUCUUUGCCUUUGGAAUCCAUGUUUCUGUUUACAUUUGGCAAAAAACUCACCAGGUUACACUCGGACCAAAAUGGACUUAAAAAUAAAAAGCUUCAAUGCUUUUGCUAAUAUAUCAAAAUGUGAAGUUUAUAGCUUUAACUUUUUGGAACAAAAACUAAUAACACUGGCUUAAGUGCUGACUUGAAAUGCUAUUUUGUAAGGAUUGGAUCUGAAUAAUCACCGAGGUCAGCAGUUUUAUAUGAAUGAGACAUAGCUUCCUCCACUGUAUCCUUUUAUUUUCUGUAUUUUAAAAAUGUUUGAUCCAUUCUGUGGUUGAUGGGCAUUUGGGUUGUUUCCAAGAUUUAGCUAUACAAAUUGCACUGCUAUGAACAUGGGUGCACAUAUAUCGCUGAGACAUGACCUUUUCAAUUUUUCUGGGAAAAUACCCAGGAGGGGAAUAGCUGGAUUGCAUGGAACUUCCACUCCUACUGUUUUGAGGAAUCGCCAUACUGAUUUCCACAGUGGCUGCACCAGUCUGCACUCCAACCAACAGUGGAGCAGUGUUCCUUUCUCCCUGAGCCUUGCCCACACUUGUUAUCAGUUGAUUUCUUGAUGGCAGCUAUUCUUUCUGGAGUGAGAUGAAAUCUCAAUGCUGUUUUAAUUUGCAUUUCCCCAAUGACCAGUGAUGGUGAUUUCUUACUGGUUUUUUUUUUGAAAUUGUGUAUUAUUGCUACCCUUUUUUCUGUUUUGCUUUCUUCUCUAAAAAAAAAAACCAGUUUGAGAUGCUUCCUAUAUACUUCUAUGUUAGCUUCGUUGUUUUCCCUCCUUUCUUCCUAUACCUUGCCAACCUUUGUUUUAAAUAAACACAUAAAAAAGGGAAUUAUAGUUGUAGAAACUAUAUUUGCUGGUUUAAAAUUAUUUCAAAAAGUCAAGGGCAAUUCAAAUCUGUAACCAAAAAUCUUUCUCCAGCACAGACUUUCACAGCAGAGAUGCGAGGUCCAGAGCUGGAGGGGGACCAGAGGACCCGAGCUGAAAUCCGCCUAUAUCUUACCAACAGGGUCACCUUGAAUGUGCUUUACUCACUGAGCAUCAUAUGCCUUCAAUAAAAUAUGUCUGAAGAAACCUGCUUUGGGGUAUUCUGGGAUUGAAAUGAAUAACAACAUACCUAAGUGCUUAGUAGAGUGUAAGGACACAGGAGCUUAAGCUAUCCUUAAACUUUCCUGCAGCACAAAGUGAGGCUCUAUCAUUCUGUGAGCAAGUUUUGGAUCUGAUCUUCUGACUGGUAUUAGCAGUAAAUCGGGUCGUUCUACAAAGAAAUCAUUUGGUGAAUUCAUUGUCAAGGAAUUCACAGGUGUGAUAUCAUGGGCUGUUAUCAAAGUCCUAUACCCUGAGUGUUUAAAAUGCAAAUGCUUAUUUCUCACAGCUCAGGAGCAUGGAAAGCCCGAGAUGAAAGUGCUCACCCAUCUUUAAUCUUGUGGAACUUUCUUCCAGACUUG
This is a long non-coding RNA of Cavia porcellus (domestic guinea pig), 5939 nucleotides long. RefSeq lists it as uncharacterized. NCBI's taxonomy places the organism in Eukaryota, Metazoa, Chordata, Mammalia, Rodentia, Caviidae. The record is from RefSeq and is a predicted model, not a curated record. The transcript is spliced from 4 exons.